Pan troglodytes (chimpanzee) is the source of this 188-nucleotide long non-coding RNA. RefSeq lists it as uncharacterized. Lineage: Eukaryota; Metazoa; Chordata; Mammalia; Primates; Hominidae. The transcript has 2 exons. The record is from RefSeq and is a predicted model, not a curated record.
UCCACAGGUCAGGCUGCAUUUGUAUUCUGGGUCCACAAGACAUCGUUUCCUUAAAACCAAUCCCCCUGAUUUUGCUAAGUGUCUGCAAGCCUAAUAUUUCAUGGAUGUUUGACAAGGACCCCGUCUUUAGCUGAACUAAGGAGAAAGUCCUGCAACACACACAUGGAGCUCAGCAAACGGAGGAUGUA